Megalobrama amblycephala (Wuchang bream) is the source of this 1394-nucleotide RNA transcript. RefSeq lists it as uncharacterized. Lineage: Eukaryota; Metazoa; Chordata; Actinopteri; Cypriniformes; Xenocyprididae. The record is from RefSeq and is a predicted model, not a curated record. The transcript is spliced from 3 exons.
GCCGAAAGGCUAAUUAUGAUCAGCAUGUUCAGGACGCUCCGUUGGUCGAAGGUCAGAUGGUUUAUAUCCAAGAUUUUGGUAAGAGAGGUCGUAAUAAAAUUCAAGACGUGUGGAAUUCUGUGGUGCACCGUGUGGUGAAGGCGCCGAGGGAGGGCGGUGCCGUUUACUCGGUUGUACCAGUGCACGAGCCAGAUAAGGUAAAGCAUGUUCAUUGGCCCUUAUUGAAGGCCCAAAAUCAGGGAGCGUUGCCUGAGCAGACACAGGAGGAUAGUUCCCCUGAACAGCAGGUGGUUGUACAGGAGGAAGAGCUUGAGGAGGCAGACUGGUUACUGGUGGGUUCCAGAGAGCAUCAAGCUCCUGUGGUACUGUGCCCUGAAGAGCCAGGUGGUGAGGAAUUACCCUCUGCUGGAGUGGUGGUAUUAGAACUUCAGGCUCCUGUUGCCCCACGCCCUGAGGAGCCAGGUUGUGUGGAAUUCUCUGCUAGUUUGGAGGUACCAAUGGGAAGGGCACCCUCAGUGCCCAUAGGACCUGAAUCGGGUGCACAGUCGGUUAGUGAGGUACCUGUGGGUACUGGGGUGCUUAACCAUUUUUCUGUUGAGGAGGAUGGCGCUCGGCGGUCAAGGCGAACGACGGCCGGCUAUCAUCCUAAUAUUCAUCGGCUUCCUCGGGCAGUGGGACAUUCUGCAUCUGAUGCUCCUAUAGGUUCUAGUGCGGUUACUGUGCUUUUUAGGCCAUGGAACUAAGACCAUCGUCAGGGCGACGACACAAAAUUAGGGGGUAGAUUGUGGCAUUACAGGUAAGAUGGGCAUGACUUUCUGAAAUUGCUAGGGCGGGCAUUAAUUUGCGUCAUGGAUUAUUAUCGUCUAUAAAAGCCAUUGGCUUAUGUACCUGGGUAGGCGUCAUUUUCCGGAAGUGGUUUGGCUUUUGUUGUCCUGCUGAACGUGACUGUGGGUCGGUAAAGGUUGGUUAAUUCAGCUUUUGAUGUAUUACAUUUUGCUUGGUUUUAAUUUGGUAUGUGUUAGUUUACUUGCAUUUGCAUUUGGUUUGUGCGUUGCUAGGAGUGCGACUGUGCGUACGGUCAGUUCUAUGUUUGGCGUUUUGCCGCGGCUGCCCUGUUCAGCUGAUGAAUGUGACUGCAUCUGUCCUUCUCCAGUUAAUGUUUUGCAUACGGGCGUCGGCUGUUGCAUAUAGGCUGUGUAUUUAAUCUUCUGGCCUCAUCCAGUUCCCGCAGUACUCGUUUGGGUUGGUAAUAUCCUCGCAGUGGCGUCACCGCUGUCUCGUUCUAGGUCAAACUUUGAGUCUCUGUGUGCGUUGGGUUACUGUUGUGUUGUUGGUCCCACGCCAGUGGAUUUCGUUUUUUUGUGUUCAUGUUUUGUUUUUGAAAGUUGAGUCUU